RNAcentral lists this ribosomal RNA (1269 nucleotides) under marine metagenome. Its description in RNAcentral is "bacterial LSU rRNA". It matches the Rfam family "Archaeal large subunit ribosomal RNA", at positions 1720 to 2987 of the family's 2987-position model. The record is from RNAcentral.
CAAAGAUCCUAAAAAAUCAUACCCAGAACCAGCACUGGUGCCCCUGGGUGAGAAACCUAAGGUGUGAAGGUGUAAUCUAAUUGAGGGAAUUCGGCAAAUUAGCCCCGUGCCUUCGGUAAAAGGGGUCCCUGCAAUUGUUGCUUAGCAAUUGAUUGCAGGGUGCAAUGACUAAGGGGGUCCGACUGUUUAACAAAAACUUAACUGACUGCUAGCCUGUAAAGGUGUGUAUAGUCGGUGACACCUGCCCAGUGUCUGUACUUUAAACUUCCUUCCAAGGAAGCUAAGAGCAGGUAAACGGCGGGGGUAACUAUAACUCUCUUAAGGUAACGUAAUACCUUGUCGUUUGAUUGACGACUUGCAUGAAUGGUGUAACGAGAUCUCCACUGUCCCCAACUAGAAUCCUCCGAACACUCCAUACUGGUGCAAAGGCCAGUGAUCUCCAGUGGGAAGCGAAGACCCCGUGAAACUUUACUACAGCCUAUUGUUGCGAUGUGGGUUUUGAUGUGUAGUGUAGGUGGAAGUCGCUAAAGCUUGGUCGUCAGGCCAAGUGUAGACGCCAAUGAAACACCACUCUUCAAAACCUACGUUGCUAAUCUCGUAAGAGAAACAGCGAUAGGUGGGUAGUUUGGCUGGGGUGGCACCCUGUUGAAACAAUAUCAACAGGACCCUAAGGUUGGCUCAAGCGGGUCAGAAAUCCGCAGUAGAGUGCAAGAGCAAAAGCCAGCCUGACUGUAUCCUUAACAAGAUUGGAUGCAGGCAUGAAAAUGUGGUCUAGCGAACCUCUAUGUCCUCCUUGAUGGGGGCUAGAGAUGAACGAAAAGUUACUCCGGGGAUAACAGAGUUGUCGCGCCCGAGAGUUCGUAUCGACGGCGCGGCUUGCUACAUCGAUGUCGGCUCUACCUAUCCUGGAAGUGCAGAAGCUUCCAAGGGUGCGGGUGUUCACCGAUUAAAAGGUAUCGUGAGCUGGGUUCAGAACGCUGUGAGGCAGUUUGUUUGAUAUCUACUGGAGAUGUUUGAUGUCUGAAAGGAAUAACCUUCUAGUACGAGAGGAACGAAGGUUAGAGGCCUCUGGUCUACCUGUUAUCUGACAAGGUAAGCAGGGCAGCUACGCCUUAUAGGAUAAGUGCUGAAAGCAUCUAAGCACGAAGCCUUCCUUGAAAAGAGACAUCAUAGAACUCUCGCAAAACACGAGUUUAAUGGGACAGGAGUGUAAGUACGAAGGCAACGACGUAUUCAGCUCGCUGUUUCCAACAGUUCAAUCUUUUAGUC